RNAcentral lists this ribosomal RNA (253 nucleotides) under uncultured bacterium. RNAcentral's name for it is "partial 16S ribosomal RNA". It matches the Rfam family "Bacterial small subunit ribosomal RNA", at positions 524 to 776 of the family's 1533-position model. The record is from RNAcentral.
UACGUAGGGGGCAAGCGUCGUCCGGAUUUAUUGGGCGUAAAGAGCGUGUAGGCGGCCAGGUAGGUCUGCUGUGAAAACUCGAGGCUUAACCUCGAGCUGUCGGCGGAAACCAUCUGGCUAGAGUCCGGAAGAGGAGAAUGGAAUUCCCGGUGUAGCGGUGAAAUGCGCAGAUAUCGGGAAGAACACCCGUGGCGAAGGCGGUUCUCUGGUACGUGACUGACGCUGAGACGCGAAAGCGUGGGGAGCGAACAGG